Non-coding RNA from Pholiota molesta, 84 nucleotides. Lineage: Eukaryota; Fungi; Basidiomycota; Agaricomycetes; Agaricales; Strophariaceae. The record is from the annotation of a GenBank genome assembly.
UCGGGUAUGGUGUAACGGCUAACAUUGCCGCCUCUCAUAUUAUUACGAUCGCGGCAGCUCGGGGUUCGAUUCCCCGUACCCGAA